This 701-nucleotide ribosomal RNA is filed under the name uncultured bacterium. RNAcentral describes it as "bacterial SSU rRNA". It matches the Rfam family "Bacterial small subunit ribosomal RNA", at positions 54 to 754 of the family's 1533-position model. The record is from RNAcentral.
CAUGCAGUCGACGGUAACAGGCCGCAAGGUGCUGACGAGUGGCGAACGGGUGAGUAAUGCAUCGGAACGUGCCCAGUCGUGGGGGAUAACUGCUCGAAAGAGCAGCUAAUACCGCAUACGACCUGAGGGUGAAAGCGGGGGACCGAAAGGCCUCGCGCGAUUGGAGCGGCCGAUGUCAGAUUAGGUAGUUGGUGGGGUAAAGGCCUACCAAGCCGACGAUCUGUAGUUGGUCUGAGAGGACGACCAGCCACACUGGGACUGAGACACGGCCCAGACUCCUACGGGAGGCAGCAGUGGGGAAUUUUGGACAAUGGGGGCAACCCUGAUCCAGCAAUGCCGCGUGCAGGAAGAAGGCCUUCGGGUUGUAAACUGCUUUUGUCAGGGAAGAAAUCCUGUGGGUUAAUACCUCGUGGGGAUGACGGUACCUGAAGAAUAAGCACCGGCUAACUACGUGCCAGCAGCCGCGGUAAUACGUAGGGUGCGAGCGUUAAUCGGAAUUACUGGGCGUAAAGCGUGCGCAGGCGGUUUUGUAAGACAGAGGUGAAAUCCCCGGGCUCAACCUGGGAACUGCCUUUGUGACUGCAAGGCUGGAGUACGGCAGAGGGGGAUGGAAUUCCGCGUGUAGCAGUGAAAUGCGUAGAUAUGCGGAGGAACACCGAUGGCGAAAGCAAUCCCCUGGGCCUGUACUGACGCUCAUGCAC